UACAGAGGGUGCGAGCGUUGUUCGGAAUUAUUGGGCGUAAAGGGUUCGUAGGCGGUGUAGCAAGUCGGGAGUGAAAUCUCUGGGCUCAACCCAGAGACUGCUUCCGAAACUGCUGUGCUUGAGUGUGGGAGAGGCGCGUGGAAUUGCAGGUGUAGCGGUGAAAUGCGUAGAUAUCUGAAGGAACAACCGUGGCGAAAGCGGCGCGCUGGACCACUACUGACGCUGAGGAACGAGAGCUAGGGGAGCAAACAGG
This 253-nucleotide ribosomal RNA is filed under the name uncultured bacterium. RNAcentral's name for it is "partial 16S ribosomal RNA". It matches the Rfam family "Bacterial small subunit ribosomal RNA", at positions 524 to 776 of the family's 1533-position model. The record is from RNAcentral.